RNAcentral lists this ribosomal RNA (163 nucleotides) under uncultured bacterium. Its description in RNAcentral is "partial 16S ribosomal RNA". The record is from RNAcentral.
GCACGGAGUUAGCCGUCCCUUAUUCCUCGUAGGUACCGUCAAAAUGGAAGCAUUUCCUCUUCCACCAUUUCUUCCCCCAGAAAAGAGCUUUACAGACCGAAAUCCUUCGUCACUCACGCGGCAUUGCUGGAUCAGGCUUGCGCCCAUUGUCCAAUAUUCCCUA